UUUUUAGCCAGUGGUGAAGACUGAACGGUCGACUAAAUCGUUCAGAGUUUUUGGAGAGAUUGGCAAUAGGGCCAGACAUGAUACAACGUCUUCCCAGACUCUCAACUGUGUAGCACAGGGACUCCAGGUCUGCAUGUAAUUUGCUGGAGUUCCUGGCCAUGAUGUCAUUUGCUCCCACGUACGUUAAAACAAAAUUAAACAAAAUUAACAGUGGGAUGCAGGUCAGUGAGAGUUGGAAUGAGUUCAAUUAGAUCGAUUACCUUGCCACCAGAGAGACAGUAGGUGAUAGCACCAGGAAGAGUUAAGUGUCUGACGAUAGAAUCACCUACUAUCAAAAUUUCCGGAUUGCUGCUUACCAUACAGUUGUUGUAGGUGGCAAGUUUCGGUGAAAGGUGGUGCUGGGCGCUGACCAGGCUAGCUCGGUUAGCAUCAGCGUUGGUUGAGCUCUGCGGUGUCCAGUGGAGCAGCACCCUGGCCGGAGGGACCAAAGCCAGGUGGAGGCUGGAGGACCACCGGAGCGACUGGAGCUCUGGGUGUUACAGCAGGAGCUCUACUACUGUCCUCCGGUGAUGAAGUACACAGUCAAGGGCAUUUUUCAGAGGGAGAGUUGGCUCUAGAGCUGGACUUGCUGCACGGAGAUCUGCGCCUUUUGGAAAUAACACUAGGUGUAACUUUGCAUUUUCCAUCAGCACAGUCCACAUUCAGCAGCAGUGAAGGUGACUGUGGAGGAGCAGCCAAAGGAGUAAAGAAGUUACACAGCUUCAAAUCUGUGGAAUCAUCCUGAGAGUCAUAGAGAGGAAGGGACAGUCUUCUGAGGCCCAGGUGGAACAGCCAGGAGAUGGGUCAACUGUGUCAGGGCAAUUUACCUUCACCGUUAAACUGGUGGACUUGGGAAGCUCCAGCAAGGCUAGCCAGGAGCUGAGGUCAGUCUGCCACUGGAGAAGAACAGAGAUGAGCUGCUUGAUGGAGGCCAGUUCACCCUUGAUCUCAGAGAUAAACAAAGAGGUGACCAUGCUUAGAAGUACGGUAUAGCCUCGGUUUCACCAGAAACCACACCAGCAAGGAGCCUGGGAGCAUGGCAAUCAGCUCACCGGCACACCUGCUGCCCAUCCACACAGCAGAAGCCUGCAGUAUUUAAACCCCGGUCCUGCACUCCACUCUUCACCAGAUCAUUCCGUAUAGUAUGUGGAUCAUCGCCUCCAAUCCUUCCAGUCUGCCUGCUCAGCUCUCUACAAUAAACUGCCUUUUGUCUGAGCUCUUACAAUGCUUCUGUGUCUGAGCUCUACCUCUAGGUCCAGUAUUAUUGACAUUUAAAUUUAACAGAACGAUCAGACCCAGAAACAACAAACAUUCAAAGAGUACUCUCCAGUCAAGGGAUCUUACUCAGACAGCAUGAACAGUUACUUUGAACCCUCUCCAAGAGCAGCCAAGCCAUGGUAAAACAAAUAACCCAGUUCACCAACCAAUUUCCCCUGUUAUCAUAUCUGCUUACUCUGCCAUUGCCUAUGAGUUGACACCCACCUCUGCUGUCCCAACACAACAGCAGCCAGCCCUGUCUCAACCAUCUACCUCCUCACCUGCAAGAUACAGUGAUACAGAUUUUGUACUUUCCCACUUUUGGUAUCUACACAUUCAGGUAGUUCCAGUCUGAUGGGGCUAGGUCUGUGUAUUAGGUUAGAAUACAGACAUAACAUUAGAAGGUGGUAUAGCUUAAUGGACUUCUUUAAACUUCAUUAUGGAAAUAAACCAUAUAAUGACAAAGUAUAAUCUUCUAACCAGUUAUUUUCUAAAUGUACUGUAAUCUUCUAUAAUCUUAUCCUUGCCUAAUUUCAUUCCUCCAUCUCUGACAGGCUUUUCCUUUUUGCUCACAGGAAUCAUUAAAGUAAAAGGAAGUGUCUCUUCCAAUUGGA
Thunnus maccoyii (southern bluefin tuna) is the source of this 1910-nucleotide long non-coding RNA. RefSeq lists it as uncharacterized. Lineage: Eukaryota; Metazoa; Chordata; Actinopteri; Scombriformes; Scombridae. The transcript has 3 exons. The record is from RefSeq and is a predicted model, not a curated record.